CAGCCGCCGCGGUAAUACCGGCGGCCCGAGUGGUGGCCGCUAUUAUUGGGCCUAAAGCGUCCGUAGCCGGGUUGGGAAGUCCUCCGGGAAAUCUGGCCGCUUAACGGUCAGAAUGCCGGAGGAUACUCCCAGCCUAGGGAGCGGGAGAGGCCGAGGGUAUUCCCGGAGUAGGGGUGAAAUCCUAUAAUCCCGGGAGGACCACCUGUGGCGAAGGCGCUCGGCUGGAACGCGUCCGACGGUGAGGGACGAAGGCCAGGGGAGCAAACCGGAUUAGAUACCCGGGUAGUCCUGGCUGUAAACGAUGCGGACUUUGUGUCGGACAAGCUAUGAGCUUGUCCGGUGCCGGAGGGAAACCGUUAAGUCCGCCGCCUGGGGAGUACGGCCGCAAGGCUGAAACUUAAAGGAAUUGGCGGG
This 414-nucleotide ribosomal RNA is filed under the name uncultured microorganism. RNAcentral describes it as "bacterial SSU rRNA". It matches the Rfam family "Archaeal small subunit ribosomal RNA", at positions 459 to 872 of the family's 1478-position model. The record is from RNAcentral.